CAAGACCUUCGGGGCAGGGUGAGGCGCCUGGCGCCAAUUCCCGACCGGCGGUAUAGCCCGCGAGCGGCGAGAGCCGCAGGAUCCGGUGAAACUCCGGGGCCGACGGUAUAGUCCGGAUGGGAGAAGGUAUGC
This 132-nucleotide non-coding RNA is filed under the name Sphaerobacter thermophilus. RNAcentral describes it as "FMN sequence". It matches the Rfam family "FMN riboswitch aptamer (RFN element)". Rfam says of the family: The RFN element is a highly conserved domain that is found frequently in the 5'-untranslated regions of prokaryotic mRNAs that encode for flavin mononucleotide (FMN) biosynthesis and transport proteins. This element is a metabolite-dependent riboswitch that directly binds FMN in the absence of proteins. The record is from RNAcentral. Lineage: Bacteria; Pseudomonadati; Thermomicrobiota; Thermomicrobia; Sphaerobacterales; Sphaerobacteraceae. RNAcentral also lists the same sequence under 1 other name.